CCUACGGGAGGCAGCAGUGAGGAAUAUUGGUCAAUGGACGCAAGCCUGAACCAGCCAUGCCGCGUGAAGGAAGAAGGCUCUAUGAGUUGUAAACUGCUUUUGUACGGGGAUAAACGGAGGAACGUGUUCCUGUUUGUAAGUAUCAUAUGAAUAAGGAUCGGCUAACUCCGUGCCAGCAGCCGCGGUAAUACGGAGGAUGCAAGCGUUAUCCGGAUUUAUUGGGUUUAAAGGGUGCGUAGGUGGUUAGUUAAGUUAGCGGUGAAAUUCUGUGGCUCAACUUUAGAAUUGCCGUUGAUACUGGUUGACUUGAGUGUAUUUGAGGUAGGCGGAAUGUGUGGUGUAGCGGUGAAAUGCGUAGAGAUCACGCAGAACACCGAUUGCGAAGGCAGCUUACUAAGCUAUAUCUGACGCUGAGGCACGAAAGCGUGGGGAGCAAACAGGAUUAGAUACCCGAGUAGUC
Molecule: ribosomal RNA, 460 nt
Filed under: uncultured bacterium
Lineage: Bacteria
Description: partial 16S ribosomal RNA
Rfam family: Bacterial small subunit ribosomal RNA
Source: RNAcentral